CCAUCGGUGGUUCAGUGGUAGAAUGCUCGCCUGCCACGCGGGCGGCCCCCUGGGUUCGAUUCCCGGCCGAUGCU
Non-coding RNA from Cordylochernes scorpioides, 74 nucleotides. Lineage: Eukaryota; Metazoa; Arthropoda; Arachnida; Pseudoscorpiones; Chernetidae. The record is from the annotation of a GenBank genome assembly.